CGCACGAUGAUUCUGUAUAUAUAUGAAAGCAUGCUUGCAUCUUGAUUUAAUUUUGAACGAGUGGCGGACGGGUGAGUAACACGUGGGUAACCUGCCCUUAAGUGGGGGAUAACAUUUGGAAACAGAUGCUAAUACCGCAUAAAUCCAAAAACCGCAUGGUUCUUGGCUGAAAGAUGGCGUAAGCUAUCGCUUUUGGAUGGACCCGCGGCGUAUUAGCUAGUUGGUGAGGUAACGGCUCACCAAGGCAAUGAUACGUAGCCGAACUGAGAGGUUGAUCGGCCACAUUGGGACUGAGACACGGCCCAAACUCCUACGGGAGGCAGCAGUAGGGAAUCUUCCACAAUGGACGCAAGUCUGAUGGAGCAACGCCGCGUGAGUGAAGAAGGCUUUCGGGUCGUAAAACUCUGUUGUUGGAGAAGAAUGGUCGGCAGAGUAACUGUUGUCGGCGUGACGGUAUCCAACCAGAAAGCCACGGCUAACUACGUGCCAGCAGCCGCGGUAAUACGUAGGUGGCAAGCGUUAUCCGGAUUUAUUGGGCGUAAAGCGAGCGCAGGCGGUUUUUUAAGUCUGAUGUGAAAGCCCUCGGCUUAACCGAGGAAGUGCAUCGGAAACUGGGAAACUUGAGUGCAGAAGAGGACAGUGGAACUCCAUGUGUAGCGGUGAAAUGCGUAGAUAUAUGGAAGAACACCAGUGGCGAAGGCGGCUGUCUGGUCUGUAACUGACGCUGAAGCUCGAAAGCAUGGGUAGCGAACAGGAUUAGAUACCCUGGUAGUCCAUGCCGUAAACGAUGAAUGCUAGGUGUUGGAGGGUUUCCGCCCUUCAGUGCCGCAGCUAACGCAUUAAGCAUUCCGCCUGGGGAGUACGACCGCAAGGUUGAAACUCAAAGGAAUUGACGGGGGCCCGCACAAGCGGUGGAGCAUGUGGUUUAAUUCGAAGCAACGCGAAGAACCUUACCAGGUCUUGACAUCUUUUGAUCACCUGAAAGAUCAGGUUUCCCCUUCGGGGGCAAAAUGACAGGUGGUGCAUGGUUGUCGUCAGCUCCUGUCCUGAGAUGUUGGGUUAAGUCCCGCAACGAGCGCAACCCUUAUGACUAGUUGCCAGCAUUUAAUUGGGCACUCUAGUAAGACUGCCGGUGACAAACCGGAGGAAGGUGGGGAUGACGUCAAAUCAUCAUGCCCCUUAUGACCUGGGCUACACACGUGCUACAAUGGAUGGUACAACGAGUUGCGAGACCGCGAGGUCAAGCUAAUCUCUUAAAGCCAUUCUCAGUUCGGACUGUAGGCUGCAACUCGCCUACACGAAGUCGGAAUCGCUAGUAAUCGCGGAUCAGCACGCCGCGGUGAAUACGUUCCCGGGCCUUGUACACACCGCCCGUCACACCAUGAGAGUUUGUAACACCCUAAGCUCUGGUGGCCGUAACUCAUUAAGUGA
This 1431-nucleotide ribosomal RNA is filed under the name Lacticaseibacillus rhamnosus. RNAcentral's name for it is "bacterial SSU rRNA". It matches the Rfam family "Bacterial small subunit ribosomal RNA". The record is from RNAcentral. Lineage: Bacteria; Bacillati; Bacillota; Bacilli; Lactobacillales; Lactobacillaceae.